UACAAAAAGAAAUAAAAGACCUGGACUGU
RNAcentral lists this non-coding RNA (29 nucleotides) under Cricetulus griseus (Chinese hamster). Lineage: Eukaryota; Metazoa; Chordata; Mammalia; Rodentia; Cricetidae. The record is from RNAcentral.